Long non-coding RNA from Tympanuchus pallidicinctus (lesser prairie-chicken), 315 nucleotides. RefSeq lists it as uncharacterized. The transcript is spliced from 2 exons. The record is from RefSeq and is a predicted model, not a curated record. NCBI's taxonomy places the organism in Eukaryota, Metazoa, Chordata, Aves, Galliformes, Phasianidae.
ACAAGGGAAAAUGGUUUUAAUCUGAGACAGGGGAGGUUUAGGUUAGAUAUUAGGAGGAAGUUUUUCACACAGAGGGUGUUGACACACUGGAACAGGUUGCCCAAGGAGGUUGUGGAUGCCCCAUCCCUGGAGGCAUUCAAGGCCAGGCUGGAUGUGGCUCUGGGCAGCCUGGUCUGGUGGUUGGUGACCCUGCACACAGCAGGGGGUUGAAACCAGAUGAUUAUUGUGGUCCUUUUCAACCCAGGCCACUCUAUGAUUCUAUGAAUGCAGAGUUAUUUGGGAAAAAAAAAACCCAAACAUAUUAGUAUUGGUUGU